Molecule: ribosomal RNA, 900 nt
Filed under: Triticum aestivum (bread wheat)
Lineage: Eukaryota; Viridiplantae; Streptophyta; Magnoliopsida; Poales; Poaceae
Description: partial small subunit ribosomal RNA
Source: RNAcentral
AUGUCAGAAAUAGCGAUGCCUUUUCUUUCUAGAUUCACUAACUGUCAUUUCUUGUUUCUUCAAGCAAGUGUCAAGGAUAUAUACUUACUUUGUGAGGUCGGUGCACAUGAGAACCUUGUACGUGUCAAGGUGCUUGAACACCCUGAAGAAGAUGGCGGUGUGCUCCUUCAGGUCGCCGGAGGCCAUGACGAGGAGCCCGAACGGGCCGACUCCGCCCGGCAAGGACGCGCCCUUCUCGGCGCACAGCCCCUUAGGAUCCUGCAGCCACUUCGGGUCCAACGUCUCGGCAUCCUCCAGGUUCGGGACCUCGAAGACCGCCUGCACGUCCGCCUGCGAGCUCACGAUGCCGGCGAUCUCCUUCCUGCCGCCGGCCUCCACCUCCGUCGCCCACUGCAGGCCGACCCGCUUCCUCCUCAGCGUCUCGAUCUCUUCGACUGGCCACUGCACCAGCCGCUUCCCGUCGGUGUCCAGCCACAUCGCCCUCGGGAACGCCUGGAUGCCGGCCCACCCUCUGCCUUCACCGCCGCCGUCGGUCUCGUCCACCCACGCCCACAGCACGCGCCGCUUCUUGCGGGCGUCGUAGAAGGACUUGGAUGCGUACAGGUGGCCGUGGUCGAGCCGGCGCCAGUUGGCGCAGUCGCCGCCGCGCUCGGGCUCUGCCGGCGCGAAGGUGUCCUCCUCGUCGUCGUACCGCCCGACCAUGUAGUGGUCCUCCUUGGCGAAGUCGCUGAGCUUGAGCACGUGCAGCACCCCGGCGCGGCUCGCCGACACGUCGAGACCCUCCAUCGCGCCGGGUGCCGCCAUCGGGAACAGGUCCGGGCACUCCAGCACGGCGGGGCCGUCCCCGUCACGCGAGCUGGCGACGUGCAGAGGCGGGCCGGGGUUGCGCUCCCAGUGUAG